UCUCUGGGCAACAUAACGCAACUUAGACACUCUCUCCGACUACUUAUGCCACCCUAUCUUGCCCUAGGUUUUGAGGCUUUCCCCUCAAUCUUGUCUGCAUAAUGAGUAGCUUCACCCACUUUACUCUCGACCCUAUGCUUCUUCCAUAUUAAUAGGCCAUUUCCAAGCUGUUACACACCCAAUGCCCACCUCAAUUUUUCAAAUUUAAAUUCAAAACCCCUAGCCAUCUGCUCUAACAACUGCCUCAUAGUAGGCAAUAAGAACAUCACAUCUGGGUUACCAACUAACCCAUUGCCUAUCAAAAACUUCUCAGAAACACCCUACUUAACCUACCCUACACACUUGGAUGACAACCCUAAAAACUCCUCCCCACAGAAACAACUAGAACCUAUAUCGGUCUCCAAAGUCUUCUCCUACCUAAUGGAUGCUUUAAUCAACCCCACCAACAGCAAUACCUCUAGCAUAGCUCCUAGUCCAACAAGCACCAAGAGAAGCCCUAGGCUAAGGAACAAAACACACAAAGCCCUAGGGAUCCAGAACACCAACCGAAAUAGGAAGAUGUCCUUUUUCAUUAAUUCCCUAACUACCAGCGAUAUCAUCAAGCUAGGUAAAAAGUAUGGUGUCAGCAUAUCUUCUAAAGGUGCUGUGCUCAAACUCCAAAAGCUUGAACUUCUUCCAUGCAAGGGGACUAGUUGCCUAAUGGUCUCCCAGAAUGUUGCUUAUACGACUGAAGAUGGUUGCUAGGUCUCGAAUUGUACCUUGCUCUUUCCUUACAGUUCAA
Molecule: long non-coding RNA, 781 nt
Filed under: Phoenix dactylifera (date palm)
Lineage: Eukaryota; Viridiplantae; Streptophyta; Magnoliopsida; Arecales; Arecaceae
Description: long non-coding RNA (PDAC_LNC017910)
Source: RNAcentral